Non-coding RNA from Maylandia zebra (zebra mbuna), 218 nucleotides. The record is from RefSeq and is a predicted model, not a curated record. Lineage: Eukaryota; Metazoa; Chordata; Actinopteri; Cichliformes; Cichlidae.
CAAAGUUCCAUCUCAGAUGAAGACCCUGUAACUAAAGUGGGUGGUGAUGAAAGUUGCAGUUUAGAUGAACUUCCUGAAACCCUCAUAGGACAAAGUGUUGCAGAACAGUGUAUCUUCCACGUGUUCCAUAUGUGGAAGAGGCUUUAAUUACAUACAGUGAGGACAAUCUACUGGGAGAAGGAACAUUUGGCAAGGUAUAUAGAGGUUCUUUUCAUGGU